GGGCUAUUAGCUCAGUUGGUUAGAGCGCACCCCUGAUAAGGGUGAGAGAUGUCCCAGGUUCAAAUCCUGGAUGGCCCA
This 78-nucleotide transfer RNA is filed under the name Thaumatella adunca. RNAcentral describes it as "tRNA-Ile". It matches the Rfam family "tRNA". From Rfam's summary of the family: Transfer RNA (tRNA) molecules are approximately 80 nucleotides in length. The record is from RNAcentral. Lineage: Eukaryota; Rhodophyta; Florideophyceae; Ceramiales; Rhodomelaceae.